UGGGGAAUAUUGCACACUGGGCGCAAGCCUGAUGCAGCCAUGCCGCGUGUAUGAAGAAGGCCUUCGGGUUGUAAAGUACUUUCAGCGGGGAGGAAGGGAGUAAAGUUAAUACCUUUGCUCAUUGACGUUACCCGCAGAAGAAGCACCGGCUAACUCCGUGCCAGCAGCCGCGGUAAUACGGAGGGUGCAAGCGUUAAUCGGAAUUACUGGGCGUAAAGCGCACGCAGGCGGUUUGUUAAGUCAGAUGUGAAAUCCCCGGGCUCAACCUGGGAGAGGCAUCUGAUACUGGGAAGCUUGAGUCUCGUAGAGGGGGGUAGAAUUCCAGGUGGAGCGGUGAAAUGCGUAGAGAUCUGGGGGAAUACCGGUGGCGAAGGCGGCCCCCUGGACGAAGACUGACGCUCAGAUGCGAAAGCGUGGGGAGCAAAGAGG
Molecule: ribosomal RNA, 429 nt
Filed under: Chloroflexota bacterium
Lineage: Bacteria; Bacillati; Chloroflexota
Description: Chloroflexi bacterium partial 16S ribosomal RNA
Rfam family: Bacterial small subunit ribosomal RNA
Source: RNAcentral